RNAcentral lists this ribosomal RNA (440 nucleotides) under uncultured bacterium. Its description in RNAcentral is "bacterial SSU rRNA". It matches the Rfam family "Bacterial small subunit ribosomal RNA", at positions 29 to 514 of the family's 1533-position model. The record is from RNAcentral.
AACGAACGCUGGCGGCAUGCCUAACACAUGCAAGUCGAACGAAGUCUUCGGACUUAGUGGCGCACGGGUGCGUAACGCGUGGGAAUCUGCCCUUGGGUGCGGAAUAACUUCUCGAAAGGGAUGCUAAUACCGCAUAAUGUCGUAAGACCAAAGAUUUAUCGCCCAAGGAUGAGCCCGCGUAAGAUUAGCUAGUUGGUGGGGUAAAAGCCUACCAAGGCGACGAUCUUUAGCUGGUCUGAGAGGAUGAUCAGCCACACUGGGACUGAGACACGGCCCAGACUCCUACGGGAGGCAGCAGUGGGGAAUAUUGGACAAUGGGCGAAAGCCUGAUCCAGCAAUGCCGCGUGAGUGAUGAAGGCCCUAGGUGUAAGACUCUUUACCUAGGGAGUGAUAAUGACAGUACCUGGAGAAUAAAGCUCCGGCUAACUCCGUGCCAGCAG